UUACGACCAUAUUACGUUGAAACACCGAUUCUCAUACGAUCACCUAAGUUAAGCAACAUCGAACCUGGACAGUACCUAGAUGGGGGACACCCCUGGGAAUGCUAGGUGCG
This is a non-coding RNA of Acanthosepion pharaonis, 110 nucleotides long. The record is from the annotation of a GenBank genome assembly. Lineage: Eukaryota; Metazoa; Mollusca; Cephalopoda; Sepiida; Sepiidae.